CGCUUUUCUUAACCCAUCUGAUACCAAUCUCUUAUCUUUCAGUCUUCCAUUAUUUUUCUUCCUUUGUUAUACUUAAGUUUCUAUUCAUAACGAGGUUAGGGUUCUNUGGGUUAAAGUUCGAUUAUGUAUGGAUUACCGCUUGAUUAUAUAGAGCCUAUUAGUGAAUUGAUUAUCUAGGGUUUUGGGUUUUGUCAUGGCCGAAGCUUCCAAAGGUCGGGUCACUAUUACUCUUGGGCGUACUGGUCAGGUGGUAAAGAGAGCUGCAGCUGUAUCAGAGGUUGACUAUGCUGAUCAUCUGCCAAGUGCUGGCAAUAAGCGGNNNNNUCUGUAAGAGAUAGAUUAGGAAGUAGUUUGGAUAGUUUCUCGUCGCAUGUAAGCCUAGCUAACAACAAAAAGCAAAGAGUAGACAGUUAUUUGACAAGUUUGAGGGUUAAUGGUGCAGAAGGUGUUCGCAUUGGUAAGGAUGACCUCCGAUUCAAACUCAUGCAAAAAAAUGAUCGUAGAAGAGCUCAGAGUGAUUAUGACCAAAAAACCAUGGACCUCCGUGAAAAGUUGUCUAGGGCAGUGCAUCCUUCAGGCCCUCCACCCAGUAGUCUUGAUGCACGGCAGCGCAUGCCUGAUACUAAGGACAAUAGUAUCUUGGGUCGAAUUCCGCCUACAAGAAGUGCUGAUAAUUUACCACGGAUAGAUUCAUCAAGAAAUUCUUAUUCUCCGUGGACAUUGGAUCAUAUACGAAGGAGAUCUCCAGAUAGAAUUAUAGGUAGUUCUAGGGGCUUAUCCCCACCCAGAAAUGUGGAGGAAUUACAAAGAAGACAAUUAAACAGUACGUUUGA
Molecule: unclassified non-coding RNA, 833 nt
Filed under: Hevea brasiliensis (rubber tree)
Lineage: Eukaryota; Viridiplantae; Streptophyta; Magnoliopsida; Malpighiales; Euphorbiaceae
Source: RNAcentral